Molecule: small RNA, 118 nt
Filed under: Marmota monax (woodchuck)
Lineage: Eukaryota; Metazoa; Chordata; Mammalia; Rodentia; Sciuridae
Source: RNAcentral
GCUGGGCAUAGUGGUGUCCACCUGUAGUCCCCAGCUAUCAGGGAGGUUGAGGGAGGAGGAUCACUUGAGUCUAGGAGUUCAAGACUAGCCUUGGAAAGACAGUGACACCCUGUCUCAA